RNAcentral lists this ribosomal RNA (427 nucleotides) under uncultured soil bacterium. Its description in RNAcentral is "bacterial SSU rRNA". It matches the Rfam family "Bacterial small subunit ribosomal RNA", at positions 966 to 1393 of the family's 1533-position model. The record is from RNAcentral.
GAACCUUACCUGGGCUCGAACGGCCGGCUAACGAUCGUGGAAACACGGUUACUCCGCAAGGGGGUCCGGUCGAGGUGCUGCAUGGCUGUCGUCUGCUCGUGUCGUGAGAUGUUGGGUUAAGUCCCGCAACGAGCGCAACCCUUGUCCUGUGUUGCCACAUCGUAAGAUAGCACUCGCAGGAGACCGCCAGCGAUAAGCUGGAGGAAGGUGGGGAUGAUGUCAAGUCAUCAUGGCCUUUAUGUCCAGGGCUACACACGUGCUACAAUGGCCGGUACAAUGCGCUGCAAACCCGCGAGGGGGAGCCAAUCGCAAAAAACCAGUCUCAGUUCGGAUCGCAGGCUGCAACUCGCCUGCGUGAAGCUGGAAUCGCUAGUAAUGGCGUAUCAGAACGAUGCCGUGAAUACGUUCCCGGGCCUUGUCACACCGA